Molecule: ribosomal RNA, 518 nt
Filed under: uncultured bacterium
Lineage: Bacteria
Description: bacterial SSU rRNA
Rfam family: Bacterial small subunit ribosomal RNA
Source: RNAcentral
CUGGGCGUAAAGCGCACGCAGGCGGUCUGUUAAGUCAGAUGUGAAAUCCCCGGGCUCAACCUGGGAACUGCAUCUGAUACUGGCAGGCUUGAGUCUCGUAGAGGGGGGUAGAAUUCCAGGUGUAGCGGUGAAAUGCGUAGAGAUCUGGAGGAAUACCGGUGGCGAAGGCGGCCCCCUGGACGAAGACUGACGCUCAGGUGCGAAAGCGUGGGGAGCAAACAGGAUUAGAUACCCUGGUAGUCCACGCCGUAAACGAUGUCGACUUGGAGGUUGUGCCCUUGAGGCGUGGCUUCCGGAGCUAACGCGUUAAGUCGACCGCCUGGGGAGUACGGCCGCAAGGUUAAAACUCAAAUGAAUUGACGGGGGCCCGCACAAGCGGUGGAGCAUGUGGUUUAAUUCGAUGCAACGCGAAGAACCUUACCUGGUCUUGACAUCCACGGAAGGUCUCAGAGAUGAGACUGUGCCUUCGGGAGCCGUGAGACAGGUGCUGCAUGGCUGUCGUCAGCUCGUGUCGUGAG